AUUGAACGCUGGCGGCAGGCCUAACACAUGCAAGUCGAGCGGAGGGGCGGAGGGGUGAGUAAUGCCAAGGAAUCGGCCAGGUAGUGGGGGAGAACGUCAGGAAAAGGGAGCUAAUACCGAAUACUAUCAGAAGAGGCUAGGUCGGAUUAGCUAGUUGGUGGGGUAAAGGCCUACCAGGGCGACGAUCCGUCACUGGUCUGAGAGGAUGAUCAGUAACACUGGAACUGAGACACGUUCCAGACUCCUACGGGAGGCAGCAGUGGGGAAUAUUGGACAAUGGGCGAAAGCCUGAUCCAGCCAUGCCGCGUGUGUGAAGAAGGUCUUCGGAUUGUAAAGCACUUUAAGUUGGGAGGCGUUACCAACAGAAUAAGCACCGGCUAACUUCGUGCCAGCAGCCGCGGUAAUAC
Molecule: ribosomal RNA, 407 nt
Filed under: uncultured bacterium
Lineage: Bacteria
Description: partial 16S ribosomal RNA
Rfam family: Bacterial small subunit ribosomal RNA
Source: RNAcentral